This 119-nucleotide ribosomal RNA is filed under the name Lepisosteus oculatus (spotted gar). Lineage: Eukaryota; Metazoa; Chordata; Actinopteri; Semionotiformes; Lepisosteidae. The record is from RNAcentral.
GCCAGCAGUCAUAUCAUUCUGCAACUCACAACUGGCAACCCACCGAAGCUCAGCAGGUGUGAGCCUGGUCGGUGCCUGAAUGGGAGACCUCCUGGGAAAAACUAAGGUUGCUGCUGGGA